Mesocricetus auratus (golden hamster) is the source of this 673-nucleotide long non-coding RNA. RefSeq lists it as uncharacterized. The record is from RefSeq and is a predicted model, not a curated record. The transcript has 3 exons. Lineage: Eukaryota; Metazoa; Chordata; Mammalia; Rodentia; Cricetidae.
AGAAUUCUUUGCCCCAACCACAUCAGGAUACUAGAUUUGUGGCAUUCUUUGAAGAAACCCUCGUUGAACCCUUACUUGUAUCCUGAGCCACUUGAGACUCCAUGCUAUCAAUACAUCUCAUUCCUCCUCCCACUCUGGUGGCCAUUUCUCUCAAACUUCUACCACCUUGACUUUGUCACCAUGAAGGACUGCAAAAUGGAAUUGAGAAAAGGGUCAGGACCUCUUUCUUACUCCUCUCGCGUCCUACAUGGUGACUUACUGUGCCUCCAUUUCCCAGAAUCGUCCAGUUCUCCUAUCUUGCUUUCCUAUUGGCCAGAAGUGCUUUAUUCAUCAACCAAUUAGACAAAAAUAUAUACAAAAGGACUUCCUCCAUCAGGUGAGUGUUACAAUUUAGUCCAUAUCAUUAUGAAUACUAUGCUAAGUAUCAAUAAUGAAUAUACAACACAGUCUACAUCCACAAAACUACAUUUCAUUCUUCCUUCCCAACAUGGCAUAAAGAAUUUCUUUCCAUACUUUGGAUAAACUCCCACUAAGUCAUGUGCCUUCUCUAGUUUCUUCCAACCUACUGCACCCUGUCCCUGUAGAUUUUUCUCAGUGAUCCUGUGGCUACUCUUAUCUUCUGCAUGCCUUUUUUAUAUGUGAAUCAAAUGCCCUCCAGAACCUCAUUACUCAC